AAUCAGGAGAAAACAUUAGAUUGUAACUGAUUGUAUCUUUCUUCUGUUCCCCAGGAGUGAAAUGUAAAUAGAGAGGAGGGUCUACACAGAUCUGACACAAUCUAAUCAAAUCAGACUGGAGUAGAAACAAUUCAGUCUUCCAGUGAACACACUGCACUGCACAAUGGAUGUCUUUUCAGUUUUUCUCUUCUAUAGUCUGGCAUCUGCUGUCUCUGGAAACAUCAUCACACCAGAUGAAACAGAGCUUUCUGCUGAGGAGGGUUCAAAUGUUACAUUAUCCUGUAGUUAUUCCUCUGCAGAUGAUCUAUUCUGGUACCGUCAGUAUCCCGGAUCAGCUCCUGAAUUUCUUGACUUCAUCUUUGAUGGUGCAACAAACACAAAAAAGUCUGAUGUAGAUCCAAGAUUCUCAGUUAAACUCAGUAACCGGGAACAAAAGCAUGUGGAUCUGAUCAUCUCCUCUGCUGCUGUAUCAGACUCUGCUCUGUAUUACUGUGCUCUGAGGCCCACAGUGACAGGAAACACAUCAGCUCUCGACAAAAACCCUUUACCCAGGGAGAGUGAGCAAGAAUAUAGAUCAUAUAUCCUUAAAUUGACAUCAUAA
This is a non-coding RNA of Carassius auratus (goldfish), 601 nucleotides long. Lineage: Eukaryota; Metazoa; Chordata; Actinopteri; Cypriniformes; Cyprinidae. The record is from the annotation of a RefSeq genome assembly.